Long non-coding RNA from Alligator mississippiensis (American alligator), 1003 nucleotides. RefSeq lists it as uncharacterized. The record is from RefSeq and is a predicted model, not a curated record. The transcript is spliced from 4 exons. NCBI's taxonomy places the organism in Eukaryota, Metazoa, Chordata, Crocodylia, Alligatoridae.
AAAGGAGAUAACUGAAGCAGAAAUGCUGCCAUGUGGGCAACUUCAAGGCUGAGACCCAUCUUUUACAACUGUAGUGACCUUGAUGUGAGAUAAGGAAAAGACGGCUGUAGAGCAGCUGCUAGAAACAUAGAUUAAGCAUGGAAAAACCCAAAGAAGUAAAACAGAAACUGAAAACCAUAUAUAUGGUGCCAAAUGAUGCUAAGUUGGGUGAGAAAUCUUCUGUCUUCCUUCCGGAGCACAGGCACGCCUGCUUCUCACCUUGCUCCAGCUCACCACCAUCAUCAGCUACAACAUCUCAGCUACUCAGUAAAUACGGGGUCGGCCACCCCACAUUAGCAUUGAGCAACUAUUGCUGCGUCUGAGUAGUAACCCUUUGUUUGUUCGCUUCAAAGAGGGUAGAGCCAGUAGAAAGAGGGCAGGCCUAACAUCUGCAGAUGAGCCUAGUCUCUUGUGUUGCAGUCCAUCACCAUUGAAAAAGGGACAAAUAUCCAGCUGGACAGAAGGCAUAUGUACUAUGAGGGCCCUAUCAUCACUGCCUACUUUGUCAUCAUAAUUCUUCCAGCUCUGUAGGUCUGGCAAAACACUCUGCAUGGAUGAAAUCUAUGAACACUGUCAGUGGUAGAUUGAAACCUUUUUUCUGUAUAGAGGUCCUUUCUACUUUAAGUAUUUCUGGAAGGCACUCCUUUAAAGCCAUGAUCCAACCAGCAGAGACUCCCUAUGCCUGAAGAAGGGUGACUGCGCCCAAAAGCUUGCAAAGAACUUUGUUCCGACUACUCGGUUGGUCUAAUAAAAGAUAUCACAGCUACUCAAAGAAUCUUCCCUGCCUAUGAUCCAACCAAGCACUUAAGAUUGCUCUUAUCUUUUGAUCCAUCAAUAGUUCCAUUCUAGUCAAUGGGACUUCUCAUAUAGUCUGUUUGAUGACUGGAUCAGAUUUUCAAAGGUUUUUAGAUGUCCAUCUCCCAGUGAAUUCAAUAGGAAUUAGGGGCCUAAUAACUUUAAAAGU